Molecule: long non-coding RNA, 2454 nt
Organism: Arachis stenosperma
Lineage: Eukaryota; Viridiplantae; Streptophyta; Magnoliopsida; Fabales; Fabaceae
Exons: 10
Source: RefSeq, a predicted model, not a curated record
CUUGAACUAGCUGCGAAGGGGAGGAGAAGAGUAGUAGCGAACCAAAGACCAGAGAGGAAGAGACGCAAUUACACUAUAAUAGAUAGUUAGAAAGGUAGAAAAAAUUGUAGUCGCAGAGUCAGAGAGCCAGAGAGGGGAGGAGAGUGGCAGACGAUUUUGCCUCUGGCGACGACGGUUCCCUCGGGCUGGGUGUCAGGCGCGCGAUGAGAGUUCUGCGGUAACCUUAAGAGUUAAAUGUGUAAGCAGUGAGAGGGGGAGGGUGGCGUACGGCGGUGAAAAUGGACGAGGGUGGCAGAGAGAAGAAGAAGGAGACACUACAGCAAACAGGGAAGAUAGCAGCAGCUAAUUAGCAGCUGUUUAUCAAACCGCAGCCAAUUGACAAGAUAGCGGCCAUUAUGAUAUCGGUUUGGGCUCUGCUACAAAAAGAACCAAGAUAGCAGCGAUUUGCUUCCCAACGGCAACAAAUCAAAACAAGAAGAGAGCCCCUAAAUGCCCCGUCACCAGAGUUCUAAAGUCUGAAUCAUUCCCCCUUGUCCAGCCCUAGCAACCACCCACGCAGCGCCACCAUCGAUCAUCACCCCCCAGAGUCUCCAUCAGAACCACAGAACCACCACCUUCUUCUUCUUCCACCCUCGCCGAACAACCACCGCGAAAACCCUUUCUCUCUUUCUCUUCCCCUGUCUCAUGCCUUCUCUGUCUCGUUGUCGGCUACCAUCCAGCGCUGCCGUGACCAUCUUCUUCCCCUCCUUACAACCUCGCACUAUGGGCCUGUGGCUCUCUAGUUUGCCCAUGCCUCCCUUAUUCCCAGUCACAGAAUCAGAACAGAGCCACUCUAUUGUUAAUUCGACUCAGGUAUAUUGAGUUCUAUGAUGUCAUGUCUGUCCCCAUGGUAAUAGCACUUUCUGGCCAAUUUCUUCUUGGUCAACUAGUGAUGGUGAAGCCAUCAGAAGCAGAAAAAAAUUUGGUUCAGUCCACAACAUCUGUUGCUACUGGACCUGCUGGAGUUAUAGUCCCAUAUUCAGGGGGAGCAAGAAGGCUAUAUGUAGGCAAUCUGCAUUUCAAUAUGACCAAAACUGAUCUUCGGACGGUGUUUAAAGCAUUUGGUCAGGUUGAGCUUGUCUAGCUGCCUCUUGAUGAAAGUGGGAACUGCAAAGGUUUUGGCUUUGUCCAGUUUGCACGCCCUUGAAGAUGCAAGAAAUGCACAGAGCUUGAAUGGUCAAUUGGAAAUUGGUGGCAGGACAAUCAAGGACAAAUUUGGUGUAAGGUCUCCGAGACAUAGCUCUGCAGAAAUGAUGGUAGCCCUUUACCUACAAGUCAGUAUUAUUAGCCAGGCACUAAUUUUUGUCACCAAGUCUUGUAGCUGGUCCUAUGUUAAAAGACAUGGUCUUCUUCUAUUGGGUUCUUCAUGAUUGCUCAACUGGUGGCAACUGCUCUUGCAGUAUAUGCUAACUAGAGCUUUGCAAGAAUCAAGAGAAUGGGAUGGGAUUGGACUGGUGUAAUCUGACUCUACAGUUUAGUGACCUAUGUGCCUCUUAAUUUGCUUAAAUUUGUGAUUAUAAGUGUGAUCACAAUUCUUAGGGAUUUGUGAUUAUGGGUCUACAAUGAAAUAAUUGAAAAUCAAAGACUAAAAUAUAUACACUAAAAAGAUAAAUUGAAUAACUCUAUUAACCCUGUUAUUAGUUUACUUUCUUAAUUCAUACUACAGUUUCAGUUAUUUAUUGUUCUUGCUUUGAUUAAUGUUUUUAACUGAUCUUUUUUUAAUUUAUUUGUGGAUUGAGAGAAAUGUUUGUCAGGCCAUUUGAGUUCAAAGACAGUAGUAUGUUACUCAUCAAGUAGAGUUCUUACCUGCUGCUGAUCUUAUGUUGCCUUGUCUAAACUUCAAGCUGAACAGUCUAGGCUUGAGAAACGGGUCAACAAGAAAGUAAUGGCAAUGUUUAAGAAGGCAGAAGAUGAGUACAAUGAUUUGAUGUCAGAGAAAAACAUAAUUGAGAAUGACAAGUCUAAAAUCAAGAAAGUGAUCAAAGAAUUGGAUGAAAAAAAAGAGACACUAAAUGUGACCUGGGUCAAAGUAAACAAUGAUUUUGGAUCCAUAUUUUCUACAGUACUACUGGGUACGAUGGCUAAGUUAGAACCUCCAGAAGGAUGCAGUUUUCUUGAUGGUCUUGAGGUUCGGGUUGCAUUUGGAGGUGUUUGGAAAUAGUCAUUGUCUUAAGUGGAGGUCAACGAUCCAUUGAGGUUUAUAUUUGUCAUCAUGACUUUUAAAGGGGUUUCAAUAUUUAGGAUUUUUCUAAGGUUUUUACCAAUAUUUAGGAUUUUUCUAAGGUUUUUACCACCUUAGUUUUGUUUUUCCCCUAUAUAUAUAUAUAUAUGUAUGUGUGUGUGUACAAGUAGUGCUCGAGUAUCAUAUUUUUUUAUUUUACAAAUAAGAAUUUUUUAGUUAACAUUUUAAAUUUA